UACGUAUGGUGCAAGCGUUAUCCGGAUUUACUGGGCGUAAAGGGAGCGCAGGCGGCGCGCCAAGUCUGAUGUGAAACCCCGGGGCUCAACCCCGGGCAUGCAUUGGAAACUGGCGGGCUGGAGUGCCGGAGAGGUAAGCGGAAUUCCUAGUGUAGCGGUGAAAUGCGUAGAUAUUAGGAGGAACACCAGUGGCGAAGGCGGCUUACAGGACGGCAACUGACGCUGAGGCUCGAAAGCGUGGGGAGCAAACAGG
This 253-nucleotide ribosomal RNA is filed under the name uncultured bacterium. RNAcentral describes it as "partial 16S ribosomal RNA". It matches the Rfam family "Bacterial small subunit ribosomal RNA", at positions 524 to 776 of the family's 1533-position model. The record is from RNAcentral.